GAUGAAGAACGUAGCGAAAUGCGAUAAGUAAUGUGAAUUGCAGAAUUCAGUGAAUCAUCGAAUCUUUGAACGCACAUUGCGCCCGCCAGCACUCUGGCGGGCAUGCCUGUCCGAGCGUCAUUUCAACCCUCGAACCCCUCCGGGGGGUCGGCGUUGGGGAUCGGCCCUUUACGGGGCCGGCCCCGAAAUACAGUGGCGGUCUCGCCGCAGCCUCUCCUGCGCAGUAGUUUGCACACUCGCAUCGGGAGCGCGGCGCGUCCACAGCCGUUAAACACCCCAAACUUCUGAAAUGUUGACCUCGGAUCAGGUAGGAAUACCCGCUGAACUUAAGCAUAUCAAUAAGCGGAGGA
RNAcentral lists this unclassified non-coding RNA (350 nucleotides) under soil metagenome. RNAcentral's name for it is "partial contains 5.8S ribosomal RNA, internal transcribed spacer 2, and large subunit ribosomal RNA". The stretch from base 1 to 120 matches the Rfam family "5.8S ribosomal RNA", at positions 35 to 154 of the family's 154-position model. The record is from RNAcentral.